Molecule: ribosomal RNA, 529 nt
Filed under: uncultured bacterium
Lineage: Bacteria
Description: bacterial SSU rRNA
Rfam family: Bacterial small subunit ribosomal RNA
Source: RNAcentral
GUACAUCCAGAGAACUUAGCAGAGAUGCUUUGGUGCCUUCGGGAACUCUGAGACAGGUGCUGCAUGGCUGUCGUCAGCUCGUGUUGUGAAAUGUUGGGUUAAGUCCCGNAACGAGCGCAACCCUUUAUCCUUUGUUGCCAGCGGCUCGGCCGGGAACUCAAAGGAGACUGCCGGUGAUAAACCGGAGGAAGGUGGGGAUGACGUCAAGUCAUCAUGGCCCUUACGGCCAGGGCUACACACGUGCUACAAUGGCGCAUACAAAGAGAAGCGACCUCGCGAGAGCAAGCGGACCUCAUAAAGUGCGUCGUAGUCCGGAUUGGAGUCUGCAACUCGGACUCCAUGAAGUCGGAAUCGCUAGUAAUCGUAGAUCAGAAUGCUACGGUGAAUACGUUCCCGGGCCUUGUACACACCGCCCGUCACACCAUGGGAGUGGGUUGCAAAAGAAGUAGGUAGCUUAACCUUCGGGAGGGCGCUUACCACUUUGUGAUUCAUGACUGGGGUAAAGUCGUAACAAGGUAGGCGUAGCGAG